Molecule: ribosomal RNA, 892 nt
Filed under: uncultured bacterium
Lineage: Bacteria
Description: bacterial SSU rRNA
Rfam family: Bacterial small subunit ribosomal RNA
Source: RNAcentral
AGAGUUUGAUCAUGGCUCAGGACGAACGCUGGCGGCGUGCCUAACACAUGCAAGUCGAGCGGAGCUAAUAGCAAUAUUAGCUUAGCGGCGGACGGGUGAGUAACGCGUGGGCAACCUGCCUCAAACAGGGGGAUAACACAGGGAAACUUGUGCUAAUACCGCAUAAGAUCGUAGAUAGACAUCUAUUAGCGAUCAAAGGAGCAAUCCGGUUUGAGAUGGGCCCGCGUCCAAUUAGCUAGUUGGUGAGGUAACGGCCCACCAAGGCGACGAUUGGUAGCCGAACUGAGAGGUUGAUCGGCCACAUUGGGACUGAGACACGGCCCAGACUCCUACGGGAGGCAGCAGUGGGGAAUAUUGCGCAAUGGGGGAAACCCUGACGCAGCAACGCCGCGUGAAGGAUGAAGGUUUUCGGAUUGUAAACUUCUUUGAUGAGGGACGAAAGAAAUGACGGUACCUCAAAAACAAGCCACGGCUAACUACGUGCCAGCAGCCGCGGUAAUACGUAGGUGGCGAGCGUUGUCCGGAAUUACUGGGUGUAAAGGGCGUGUAGGCGGGGAGACAAGUCAGAUGUGAAAUACCGAGGCUUAACUUCGGGGCUGCAUCUGAAACUGUUUUUCUUGAGUGUCGGAGAGGAAAGUGGAAUUCCCAGUGUAGCGGUGAAAUGCGUAGAUAUUGGGAGGAACACCAGUGGCGAAGGCGACUUUCUGGACGACAACUGACGCUGAGGCGCGAAAGCGUGGGGAGCAAACAGGAUUAGAUACCCUGUAGUCCACGCCGUAAACGAUGGAUACUAGGUGUAGGAGGUAUCGACCCCUUCUGUGCCGGAGUUAACACAAUAAGUAUCCCACCUGGGGAGUACGGCCGCAAGGUUGAAACUCAAAUGAAUUGACGG